RNAcentral lists this ribosomal RNA (628 nucleotides) under uncultured bacterium. Its description in RNAcentral is "bacterial SSU rRNA". The stretch from base 1 to 538 matches the Rfam family "Bacterial small subunit ribosomal RNA", at positions 338 to 873 of the family's 1533-position model. The record is from RNAcentral.
CCUACGGGAGGCAGCAGUGGGGAAUAUUGGACAAUGGGCGAAAGCCUGAUCCAGCAAUUCCGCGUGUGUGAAGAAGGCCUUCGGGUUGUAAAGCACUUUAGUGGGGGAAGAAACAGCUUGGCCACACCAAGCCUUGACGGUACCCCAAGAAUAAGCACCGGCUAACUCUGUGCCAGCAGCCGCGGUAAUACAGAGGGUGCAAGCGUUAAUCGGAUUUACUGGGCGUAAAGGGUGCGUAGGUGGCUAUUUAAGUCGGAUGUGAAAGCCCGGGGCUCAACCUCGGAAUUGCAUUCGAUACUGAGUGGCUAGAGUUCGGUAGAGGGCGGCGGAAUUUCCGGUGUAGCGGUGAAAUGCGUAGAUAUCGGAAGGAACAUCAAUGGCGAAGGCAGCCGCCUGGGCCUGGACUGACACUGAGGCACGAAAGCGUGGGUAGCAAACAGGAUUAGAUACCCUGGUAGUCCACGCCGUAAACGAUGAGAACUUGACGUUGGUUCGUUUUACGAAUCGGUGUCGCNGCUACGACGAUAAGUUCUCCGUCCGUCGGGAGGUACGGCCGGCGAGGUUAGUAACGUACAAUAGAAGUUAGACGGCGUGAGACGUCGCCGACGGACGACGACGAGGGAGGAGG